RNAcentral lists this ribosomal RNA (497 nucleotides) under uncultured bacterium. RNAcentral's name for it is "partial 16S ribosomal RNA". It matches the Rfam family "Bacterial small subunit ribosomal RNA", at positions 28 to 507 of the family's 1533-position model. The record is from RNAcentral.
GAUGAACGCUGGCGGCGUGCCUAAUACAUGCAAGUCGAGCGAACGGACGAGAAGCUUGCUGCUCUCAUGUUAGCGGCGGAUGGGUGAGUAACACGUGGGUAACCUACCUAUAAGACUGGGAUAGCGUCGGGAAACCGGAUCUAACAUACGAUAAGAUUUUGAACCGCAUGGUUCAAAAGUGAAAGACGGAUUUGCUGUCCCUAUUAGAUGGAUCGAUGUUGCAUUAGGUAGUUGGUAAGGUAACGGCCUACCAAGGCGACGAUGCGUAGCCGACCUGAGAGGACGACCAGCCACACUGGGACUGAGACACGGUCCAGACUCCUACGGGAGGCAGCAGUAGGGAAUUUUCGGCAAUGGGCGAAAGCCUGACGGAGCCAUGCCGCGUGAAGGACGAAGGUCUUCGGGUCGUAAACCGCUGUUGUAUGGGAAGAACAUGUGCGUACGUAACUGUGCGCCUCUUGACGGUACCGAAACAGAAAGCCACGGCUAACUACGUG